UACGGGGGGGGCAAGCGUUGUUCGGAAUUAUUGGGCGUAAAGGGCGCGUAGGCGGCCUUCUAAGUCAGACGUGAAAUCCCUCGGCUCAACCGAGGAACUGCGUCUGAUACUGGAAGGCUUGAAUCCGGGAGAGGGAUGUGGAAUUCCAGGUGUAGCGGUGAAAUGCGUAGAUAUCUGGAGGAACACCGGUGGCGAAGGCGGCAUCCUGGACCGGUAUUGACGCUGAGGCGCGAAAGCUAGGGGAGCAAACGGG
This 253-nucleotide ribosomal RNA is filed under the name uncultured bacterium. RNAcentral's name for it is "partial 16S ribosomal RNA". It matches the Rfam family "Bacterial small subunit ribosomal RNA", at positions 524 to 776 of the family's 1533-position model. The record is from RNAcentral.